Molecule: ribosomal RNA, 497 nt
Filed under: uncultured bacterium
Lineage: Bacteria
Description: partial 16S ribosomal RNA
Rfam family: Bacterial small subunit ribosomal RNA
Source: RNAcentral
GAUGAACGCUGGCGGCGUGCCUAAUACAUGCAAGUCGAGCGCACGGACGAGAAGCUUGCUCUUCUGAUGUUAGCGGCGGACGGGUGAGUAACACGUGGAUAACCUACCUAUAAGACUGGGAUAACUUCGGGAAACCGGAGCUAAUACCGGAUAAUAUUUUGAACCGCAUGGUUCAAAAGUGAAAGACGGUCUUGCUGUCACUUAUAGAUGGAUCCGCGCUGCAUUAGCUAGUUGGUAAGGUAACGGCUUACCAAGGCAACGAUGCAUAGCCGACCUGAGAGGGUGAUCGGCCACACUGGACCUGAGCCACGGUCCAGACUCCUACGGGAGGCAGCAGUAGGGAAUCUUCGGCAAUGGGGGAAAGCCUGACGGGGCAACGCGGGGGGGGUGAUGAAGGUCUUCGGAUCGUAAAACUCUGUUAUUGGGGAAGAACAGAUGUGGAAGUAACUGUGCACAUCGUGACGGUACCUAAUCAGAAAGCCACGGCUAACUACGUG